RNAcentral lists this ribosomal RNA (254 nucleotides) under uncultured bacterium. RNAcentral describes it as "partial 16S ribosomal RNA". It matches the Rfam family "Bacterial small subunit ribosomal RNA", at positions 524 to 776 of the family's 1533-position model. The record is from RNAcentral.
UACGGGGGGAGCAAGCGUUGUUCGGAUUUACUGGGCGUAAAGGGCGCGUAGGCGGCCAGCACAAGUCAGUUGUGAAAUCUCCGAGCUUAACUCGGAAAGGUCAACUGAUACUGUGCGGCUAGAGUGCGGAAGGGGCAACUGGAAUUCUUGGUGUAGCGGUGAAAUGCGUAGAUAUCAGGAGGAACACCGGUGGCGAAGGCGGUUCUCUGGGCAUGUCCUGACGCUGAGGAGCGAAAGUGUGGGGAGCGAACAGG